Molecule: small nuclear RNA, 23 nt
Filed under: Arabidopsis thaliana (thale cress)
Lineage: Eukaryota; Viridiplantae; Streptophyta; Magnoliopsida; Brassicales; Brassicaceae
Description: snRNA_15571
Source: RNAcentral
AUUGGGAUCCUUCCCAAAAGAUC